AUUGAACGCUGGCGGCAUGCCUUACACAUGCAAGUCGAACGGCAGCACGGGUGCUUGCACCUGGUGGCGAGUGGCGAACGGGUGAGUAAUACAUCGGAACAUGUCCUGUAGUGGGGGUUAGCCCGGCGAAAGCCGGAUUAAUACCGCAUACGAUCUACGGAUGAAAGCGGGGGACCUUCGGGCCUCGCGCUAUAGGGUUGGCCGAUGGCUGAUUAGCUAGUUGGUGGGGUAAAGGCCUACCAAGGCGACGAUCAGUAGCUGGUCUGAGAGGACGACCAGCCACACUGGGACUGAGACACGGCCCAGACUCCUACGGGAGGCAGCAGUGGGGAAUUUUGGACAAUGGGCGAAAGCCUGAUCCAGCAAUGCCACGUGUGUGAAGAAGGCCUUCGGGUUGUAAAGCACUUUUGUCCGGAAAGAAAUCCUUGGCCCUAAUACGGUCGGGGGAUGACGGUACCGGAAGAAUAAGCACCGGCUAACUACGUG
Molecule: ribosomal RNA, 486 nt
Filed under: uncultured bacterium
Lineage: Bacteria
Description: partial 16S ribosomal RNA
Rfam family: Bacterial small subunit ribosomal RNA
Source: RNAcentral